This 458-nucleotide ribosomal RNA is filed under the name uncultured bacterium. RNAcentral's name for it is "partial 16S ribosomal RNA". It matches the Rfam family "Bacterial small subunit ribosomal RNA", at positions 28 to 507 of the family's 1533-position model. The record is from RNAcentral.
GGUGAACGCUGGCGGCGUGCUUAAGACAUGCAAGUCGAACGGGCUCUUCGGAGCCAGUGGCGCACGGGUGAGUAACGCGUAACUGACCUACCCCAAAGUCGCGGAUAACGAUUCGAAAGAAUCGCUAAUACGUGAUGUGCUGUCAGAUCCUGUUCUGCCAGUAAAGAUUUAUUGCUUUGGGAUGGGGUUGCGUUCCAUCAGCUAGUUGGUGGGGUAAAGGCCCACUAAGGCGACGACGGAUCGCCGGCCUGAGAGGGUGGCCGGCCACAGGGGCACUGAGACACGGGUCCCACUCCUACGGGAGGCAGCAGUUAGGAAUCUUCCACAAUGGGCGAAAGCCUGAUGGAGCGACGCCGCGUGAGGGAUGAAGGUCCUCGGAUCGUAAACCUCUGAAUCAGGGACGAAAGACGCGAAAGCGGGAUGACGGGACCUGAGUAAUAGCACCGGCUAACUCCGUG